RNAcentral lists this ribosomal RNA (463 nucleotides) under Craterostomum acuticaudatum. Its description in RNAcentral is "partial large subunit ribosomal RNA". Lineage: Eukaryota; Metazoa; Nematoda; Chromadorea; Rhabditida; Strongylidae. The record is from RNAcentral.
UAAAAAUUGGUUGUUUAAUAAUAGGUAUUGCAUAUCAUUUAAAGAUAAUUUUAUUGUUAAUAAAAUAUAGAAUAAAAAGGUAGAAAGCUUAAUUAUUUUAUUGUUUCAUAAUAAAAAUUAUAAGUUUUAGGGUUGAAAAGUCGACUUUUUAGAUAUCUGUUUUGUUAAUUUAUAUUAGAAAUUUAUGUAAAUUUAAGGAAAUUAUAUAAAAAGUAAAAGUUGAAGUAUUUAUAGGUUUAGUUUUAUAACUGUUUAUAUAAUUUAUAUAUAAAAAUAUUAUAAUUAAGGUUAUUAAAAUUUUAAUAAUUUAAUUAUUUUAAAAUUAGUAGGUUUAAGAAAUUUGCAUGUUAAUUGUUAAUAUAAUAAAAUAACUAAAUAAUUAAUCAAAUGUUUUUUAAAGACUUAGACUUUCAAGUUAAAGUUUGCUUCUGCCCAAUGAAAAAUUAAUUGGCUCUCUUAGCGU